AAAAAAUCUAUAUUAGAGAUCCCUAUCUUAGGGGUGAAAGUCAGAGACAGGGAAUUGUUAUUAACAUAAGAGAAAAAAUCCUUUAAUUCUUCUAAGGGACCACGCCAGAUGACAAGGACGUCAUCUAUAUAGCGUCUCCAGAGCACCAAGUUUGCACCAUAAGGGUUAUUAGACCAAAUGGAUGACCUUUCCCAAUAGUCCAUGAACACAUUGGCAUAGCUAGGUGCAAACUUGGUGCCCAUUGCCGUGCCCUUAAUUUGUAAAAAAUAUUCCUCAUUGAAAAUGAAAAAAUUAUGGGUAAGGAUAAAAC
Pelobates cultripes (western spadefoot toad) is the source of this 310-nucleotide non-coding RNA. Lineage: Eukaryota; Metazoa; Chordata; Amphibia; Anura; Pelobatidae. The record is from the annotation of a GenBank genome assembly.